CACCACAGAACAAACGCAGAUCUGUGUUCAGCGAUCCCGUUCAUGGAGGGUGCAGUUUCGCAAGAAGUUGUUAUUUCUCUGUGUUUCGGUUGAACGCUGGGCAGUUCGACGAUUUAAGGAGCCAUCCAGCUGGUGGAUGGUUUUUGCGGUUCCUGUCGACAGAUCUCAGAUUAAAGGUUGGCGCUGGGUUGUUCACUCGGGUCUUGAGCUCCCUUGUUUUCGAACUUGGUGAGCUCGGCUGGAGUUCCUGGUUGCUGACGGCGUCAUAUUCCUACUCCCUUUACCGAAUUGACCGUCGGUCACUGAGGUUAGGGAAUAACCAUGACCUGCCAACAUUC
Molecule: small RNA, 338 nt
Filed under: Aspergillus brasiliensis CBS 101740
Lineage: Eukaryota; Fungi; Ascomycota; Eurotiomycetes; Eurotiales; Aspergillaceae
Description: A. fumigatus sRNA Afu_309
Rfam family: A. fumigatus sRNA Afu_309
Source: Rfam by way of RNAcentral